This 465-nucleotide ribosomal RNA is filed under the name uncultured bacterium. Its description in RNAcentral is "partial 16S ribosomal RNA". It matches the Rfam family "Bacterial small subunit ribosomal RNA", at positions 338 to 795 of the family's 1533-position model. The record is from RNAcentral.
CCUACGGGCGGCAGCAGUGGGGAAUAUUGCGCAAUGGGCGAAAGCCUGACGCAGCGACGCCGCGUGAGGGAUGAAGGUCUUCGGAUCGUAAACCUCCGUCAGCAGGGAAGAACGGUCACUGUGCUAAUCAGCAGUGAAUUGACGGUACCUGCAAAGGAAGCACCGGCUAACUCCGUGCCAGCAGCCGCGGUAAUACGGAGGGUGCGAGCGUUUAUCGGAAUUACUGGGCGUAAAGCGCUCGUAGGCGGUAUGUCAAGUCAAGGGGGAAAUCCCCGCGCUCAACGUGGGAACUGCCUUGGAAACUGGGAAACUGGAGUGUGUGGGAGGAUAGUGGAAUUCGAGGUGUAGGAGUGAAAUCCGUAGAUAUCUGGAGGAACAUCAGUGGCGAGGGCGACUAUCUGGCACAUAACUGACGCUGAGGAGCGAAAGCGUGGGUAGCAAACAGGAUUAGAUACCCGUGUAGUC